Molecule: ribosomal RNA, 941 nt
Filed under: Parazoanthus swiftii
Lineage: Eukaryota; Metazoa; Cnidaria; Anthozoa; Zoantharia; Parazoanthidae
Description: partial 16S ribosomal RNA
Rfam family: Bacterial large subunit ribosomal RNA
Source: RNAcentral
UUAUUUCAAGGGCAUCGGUAAUCGAAGGUGAUAACCAUCUUUCGGCGCCGCACUGUACUAAACUAACUAAAGUGGGGGAUAGUGAGGGGAUAAAUUUCCUUAAGGAACUCGGCAAAAUCCCAAUGGCCCACCAGGGCAUAUAUUGGAACACGGGCCUCGACUGUUUACCAAAAACAUAGCCCUCGGCCAAUAUGAAAAUAGAAGUAUGGAGGGUGAGGCCUGCCCAAUGGUUGUAUCUAAAAGCGGUUGAUAAAAGUCGACCGUGUAAGGACAAUUGAAUGGCCGCGGUAACACUGACCGUGAUAAUGUAGCGUAAUCAAUAGCCAAUUAAUUGUUGGCCAGUAUGAAUGGCGCCACGAAGGCCCCACUGUCUUAAGGAAAUUCCCAGUGAAAUUGAAUUCGUAGUGAAGAUGCUACGUCCAAUUUGUUAGACGAAAAGACCCCGUUGAGCUUUACUGGGGCACUUACACGGCCCCGGCCUUCAAAACUGGGUUGAUAAGCCAAGGCUUACCAUACCUAGGGACCGGCCGAAUUUAAAUGGGCGGCUUAGACUAUGUGGCAGCCCCCCCCGUCGGGGCAGAUGAAACCCCACUCCCCCAUGUCAAAGGGGCUAACCCCCCCCCUUGGGGGGGACAGUGUAAGUAGGACAGUUUGGUUGGGGCGACCGCCUUUUAGAGAGUAACGAAGGUGCGCUUAAGGUGCGUAAUUAAUGACUGAAGCCUGACUGCGAGGGGGACACCCCGAGCAGACACCCCCAAGCCCGCCCUCGCCUUCGUACCAACGGAGGGAGGGCGGCGGUGGGGUGGGCCAUAGUGACCCGUUAAUUUAGAGUGGAAUAGUUAACGAUCAACGAAUAAAAGUUACCACGGGGAUAACAGCGUAAUAUCGUUAGAGAGUUCACAUCGACGACGAUGUUUGCGACCUCGAUGUUGAAUUGCGGC